Molecule: ribosomal RNA, 301 nt
Filed under: uncultured bacterium
Lineage: Bacteria
Description: partial 16S ribosomal RNA
Rfam family: Bacterial small subunit ribosomal RNA
Source: RNAcentral
CAGUAGCCGCGGGAAAACGUAGGUGGCAAGCGUUGUCCGGAAUUAUUGGGCGUAAAGGGCUCGCAGGCGGUUUCUUAAGUCUGAUGUGAAAGCCCCCGGCUCAACCGGGGAGGGUCAUUGGAAACUGGGAAACUUGAGUGCAGAAGAGGAGAGUGGAAUUCCACGUGUAGCGGUGAAAUGCGUAGAGAUGUGGGGGAACACCAGUGGCGAAGGCGACUCUCUGGUCUGUAACUGACGCUGAGGAGCGAAAGCGUGGGGAGCGAACAGGAUUAGAUACCCCCGUAGUCCCUGUCUCUUAUAC